Molecule: non-coding RNA, 187 nt
Filed under: Bacillus cereus
Lineage: Bacteria; Bacillati; Bacillota; Bacilli; Caryophanales; Bacillaceae
Also listed under: 4 other names
Description: 6S RNA
Rfam family: 6S / SsrS RNA
About the family: E. coli 6S RNA was the first non coding RNA to be sequenced, but its function was unknown until recently. It consists of 184 nucleotides that fold into an extended hairpin structure with a large single-stranded internal bulge.
Source: RNAcentral
AAGAAGCUACUUUGUGCGUAUUGUUAAUUAAGUUUUAACCUUUAAGCUGUAAUAGGGAGUUUUAUAUCGAAGCUGGAAUGUCAUGCCUCCAUUGCAGAGGACGACAGGAAUGUUUCUGCAAACACCCACUUUGAGGAGUGGUGGUUUAAAACUUUCUUACUUGCAUACGGCAAGAUGUAGCGAAAGC